UGAGCCACCACGCCCGGCCUGAAUGAAGUAUUUAUGGUUGGAGGGAUAUAUGGUAUCUGAGACAUGUUUGAAUCAGUGGAGUGGGAGCAUGAGACAAAGAAGAGAUGGAACAAUGUUGGCCGCCUGUUGAUGCCUGUGGAAGGUGGGGGGCAGGAACGUGGGAGUUCAUGAUAUUAUCCUCUGUACUCGUAAUAUGCUUGACAAUUUCCAUCAUAAAAAAGUAAACAAGAAAGUCAGCCCUGGGGUGUAGCUCUCUUGGAUCCGGCAAUGCCACCUCUCUGGUGCUCUUUUCCUAAUUCUAUGCAGACAACUUCUGAGUUCACCUGAGCUUUGAACUGGCCGCGGCUGGUGGAGGAUUCUGGUCAUCCUGGGGUCUCCAGCCUUACCAGGGCCCUUGAUUCUGAGUAUUGAUGUCCAU
Molecule: long non-coding RNA, 418 nt
Filed under: Homo sapiens (human)
Lineage: Eukaryota; Metazoa; Chordata; Mammalia; Primates; Hominidae
Description: HSALNT0005960
Source: RNAcentral